This 425-nucleotide ribosomal RNA is filed under the name uncultured Oscillospiraceae bacterium. RNAcentral's name for it is "bacterial SSU rRNA". It matches the Rfam family "Bacterial small subunit ribosomal RNA", at positions 355 to 794 of the family's 1533-position model. The record is from RNAcentral. Lineage: Bacteria; Bacillati; Bacillota; Clostridia; Eubacteriales; Oscillospiraceae.
UGGGGAAUAUUGGGCAAUGGGCGAAAGCCUGACCCAGCAACGCCGCGUGAAGGAAGAAGGUCUUCGGAUUGUAAACUUCUUUUAUAAGGGACGAAGGACGUGACGGUACCUUAUGAAUAAGCCACGGCUAACUACGUGCCAGCAGCCGCGGUAAUACGUAGGUGGCAAGCGUUAUCCGGAUUUACUGGGUGUAAAGGGCGCGUAGGCGGGGAUGCAAGUCAGAUGUGGAAUCUAUGGGCUUAACCCAUAAACUGCAUUUGAAACUGUAUCUCUUGAGUGCUGGAGAGGUAAUCGGAAUUCCUAGUGUAGCGGUGAAAUGCGUAGAUAUUAGGAGGAACACCAGUGGCGAAGGCGGAUUGCUGGACGACAACUGACGGUGAGACGCGAAAGCGUGGGGAGCAAACAGGAUUAGAUACCCUGGUAGU